AACGAUCCAAGCAUUUACUUCGGCCUAAGUAAUGCGGUUAAUAUUUAAUAUCCUAACUAUUUGUGCAAUUUUUGUGCAGCAUGCCUUGUCAAACUAUGGAGAAAACAACAGGAUAAUUCUUUUUAAACCAAAAAUAUUAAAGGCAAUGAUCAAGGAAUGCUUUUUAAGAGGAGAAGGAUACGAAAGAAUUGCAAUGGUACUGCUGAAAAUUUAUAAACGCAUGAAUGAACCAAAAUCAGAGGAUAACGAAUCAAAUUGGAUGAAAACCAUGAGAUUUCGACGUUGAUAAUUUUUCUUCCCGUGAGAAAUUUUGCACAGAAUGUUUUUUGUUACAUUUAAUGUAAGUGACAAGUUCUAUGUACAAAAGUGUUUAAUGCUACAAAAAUUAAAUUAAAUGUUUAAUGUCUUUUGA
Molecule: long non-coding RNA, 412 nt
Organism: Saccostrea cuccullata (small rock oyster)
Lineage: Eukaryota; Metazoa; Mollusca; Bivalvia; Ostreida; Ostreidae
Exons: 2
Source: RefSeq, a predicted model, not a curated record